AGUGUUUUCUCAUUGUAUGUUUUGUGUAAGAGUUUGAGAAGGAUUGGUAUUUAUUCUUCUUUAAUUGUUUGUUAGAAUUCGCCCAGUGAAGCCAUUUACUCCUGGGAUUUAUUUGUUGAGAGGUUUUAUGAUUACUGAUUGUAAUGGGAAAAAACGCAGUUUUCCUCUUUCCUAUGCUGGGAAAAAUACCAGCUUUUCCCUACUGUCUUUCUUUCCUGUGAGUCUCCUUUAUGACUCACAGAAAUCAUUUCACUUCUGGUUCCCAAAUGUGUGGAGGUUUCUCCCCACAAGAACAAGCAGUUCUCAGACAGCAGCAAGGUGUCCAAGAAUUCAACUCAGUUCUGACACUAUCUACCCAGGACAGCACCAGAUCACACAGGAUAUGAUAAAGGAUGCAGAUAAACAGCCAGAUGAAGAGAUGCAUGCGGCGAGGUCUGGGAUGAUCCUGAGUGCAGGAGCUUCUGUCCUCAAGGAGUUGGGGUGUGUCACCCCCCAUGUGGUUGUUCACCCACCUGGAAGUUCUCUGAACCCCCUAUUAUUGGGAUUUUAUGGAGGCUUCCUCAUCCUCCCGGCACAUAGCCGUAGAUUCUUCGCUGUGGGUCCCUCCAGCUGCGGUAUGCGGGACGCUGCCCCAGCGCGGCCCGAUGAGCAGUGCCAUGUCCGCGCCCAGGACCCGAACAAACGAAACACUGGGCCGCCUGCAGCGGAGUACGCGAACUCAACCACUCGGGCACGGGGCUAGCCCCCAUGUGUAGUUUUUAAUACAUAUUUCUGUUGUUAGGUUGAAUUUUAUUUAGGUGUCCUUUAGGUCUAGUUAGUAUUGUUCAACUCUUCCAUUUGCUUGUUGAUCUUCUGUCUCUUUAUUUUACAUUGUUGAAAUGAGAUACUGAAGCUUCCAAUUAUUAUUUUUAAAUUUUAAAUUUCUUCCUUUGUUUCUGUCAACUUUUACCUCAUAUAUUUUGGCAUUCUUUUGUUAGGAAUAUAUACUGUUAUAAGUGUUUUCUUUUCCUGGUAGAUUGAAACUACUAUUAUUAUAAACUGUCCUGCUUUUCCAUAAUAACAAUUUUUGUCUUAAUGUCUAUCUUGUUUCAUAUCACUGUAGCUAUCCCAGGUGUCUUUUAGACAUUAUUUGCAUGGUAUAACUUUUCCACUUUUUAUUUCAACUAAUUUUAGUCUGUGAAUGCAGGGUGCAUCUCUUCUAGAAAGCAUAUAGCUGGAUCAAGUUAUUUUUUCUCAUCCAUCUGCCAAUCUCUGUCUUCUAAUUGGAGUGUUUAAUCUAUUUACAUUUAAGGUAACUACCAAUGAUGUAUGGUUUAUAUUAGCAAAUUUGCAAUAUGUUUUCUAUAUGUCUUAUUUUUCUUAUUCCUUUGUUCCUCCAUUACUGGAGUGCUAAUGGCUUUCUAGUGGAUAAUUUUAAUUAGUUAUUUUCUUAGUGUUUGCCAAUGGUGUUAUUAACAUCUCAACUUACAAAAAUCUAGUUUAGAUUAACAUCAAAUUAAUUUCAAUAGUAUAUGAAAACUUUUCUACUCUAUAGCUCCAUUCUCUUUUCCUUUUUUGUGCUAUUAUUACACAAAUUACAUCUUUAUUCCUUAUAAAGCAUCAAUAUUAUAUUAUAAUUAUUGAUUUAUGAAAUUGUCAUUAUAAUCAGAUUGAAAAGUAAAGAGUUCAAGAAAAUGUUUAAACUGUCUUUUAUAUUUAUAUAUGUAGUCAUUUUUAUUGAUGCUCUUUAUUUCUUUGUAUGUAUUCAAGUUUUUACUUAGUAACCUUUCAUUUUAUCUUGAAGGACUCUCUUUAGUAUUUCUUCUAUGGCAUGUCUGCUAGGGACAUGUUAUUUGAUUUUUGUUCAUACGUAAAUGUCUUAAUUGCUCCUAUGUUUUAUGAAGGAUAGUUUUGCCUGAUAUAGGUUCUUGAAUUACACUUUUUCUUUCAGCUCGUUGGAUAUAUGAUCCCACUUCCCUCUGCUUCUCAUGGUUUCUGAUGAAACAUCAGCUGUUAAUCUUAUUGAGAGUGUAUUUAUGGGAUGAGCUGCUUCUCUCUUGCUGCUUUAGAGAUUCUCUCUUUUUCUUUGACUUUCAACAUGUGUCUAGGUAUGGAUCUCUUUCAGUUUAAUCUAUUUGGAUUUUUUUGAACUUUUGGAUGUGAAGAUUUAUGUUUUUCAUCAAAUUUGGCAAGUUUUAUCUAUUAUUUCUUCAAAUAUUCCUUAUAUCCCUUUCUCAUUCUCCUCUCCACUUGGAAUUCCCUUUAUGGAUAUGUUGGUGUGCUAUAUGUUGUUACACAAAUUUCUGAGGUUCUAAUGAUGUUUCUUCAUCUUUUUUGUUUUAUUUCUCAGGCAGGAAAAUCUCACUUGACUCAUCCUCACGUUCAUUAAUU
Molecule: long non-coding RNA, 2370 nt
Filed under: Equus caballus (horse)
Lineage: Eukaryota; Metazoa; Chordata; Mammalia; Perissodactyla; Equidae
Description: lncRNA (ENSECAG00000054283.1)
Source: RNAcentral